AGUGAACGCUGGCGGUAGGCCUAACACAUGCAAGUCGAACGGCAGCACAGUAAGAGCUUGCUCUUACGGGUGGCGGGUGGCGGACGGGUGAGGAAUACAUCGGAAUCUACUUUUUCGUGGGGGAUAACGUAGGGAAACUUACGCUAAUACCGCAUACGACCUACGGGUGAAAGCAGGUGAUCUUCGGACUUUGCGCGCUUGAAUGAGCCGAUGUCGGAUUAGCUAGUUGGCGGGGUAAAGGCCCACCAAGGCGACGAUCCAGAGCUGGCCUGAGAGGAUGAGCGGCCAGAAUGGGACUGAGAGAGGGAACAGAAGCCAACGGGAGGAAGCAGUAGGGACUCUUGGGAAAUGGACGGAAGUGUGAAAGAGAAAUGCCGAGUGAGUGAAGAAGGGUUUCGGAUCGUACAGCUCUGUUGUAAGAGAAGAAAGAGUGUGAGAGUGGAAAGUUCACACGGUGACGGUAUCUUAUCAGAAAGGGACGGCUAACUACGUG
RNAcentral lists this ribosomal RNA (493 nucleotides) under uncultured bacterium. RNAcentral describes it as "partial 16S ribosomal RNA". It matches the Rfam family "Bacterial small subunit ribosomal RNA", at positions 30 to 507 of the family's 1533-position model. The record is from RNAcentral.